This 1363-nucleotide ribosomal RNA is filed under the name uncultured Pseudomonadota bacterium. RNAcentral describes it as "bacterial SSU rRNA". It matches the Rfam family "Bacterial small subunit ribosomal RNA", at positions 69 to 1431 of the family's 1533-position model. Lineage: Bacteria; Pseudomonadati; Pseudomonadota. The record is from RNAcentral.
CAGGAAGCAGCUUGCUGCUUCGCUGACGAGUGGCGGACGGGUGAGUAAUGUCUGGGAAGCUGCCUGAUGGAGGGGGAUAACUACUGGAAACGGUAGCUAAUACCGCAUAAUGUCGCAAGACCAAAGAGGGGGCCUUCGGGCCUCUUGCCAUCGGAUGUGCCCAGAUGGGAUUAGCUUGUUGGUGGGGUAACGGCUCACCAAGGCGACGAUCCCUAGCUGGUCUGAGAGGAUGACCAGCCACACUGGAACUGAGACACGGUCCAGACUCCUACGGGAGGCAGCAGUGGGGAAUAUUGCACAAUGGGCGCAAGCCUGAUGCAGCCAUGCCGCGUGUAUGAAGAAGGCCUUCGGGUUGUAAAGUACUUUCAGCGGGGAGGAAGGGAGUAAAGUUAAUACCUUUGCUCAUUGACGUUACCCGCAGAAGAAGCACCGGCUAACUCCGUGCCAGCAGCCGCGGUAAUACGGAGGGUGCAAGCGUUAAUCGGAAUUAUUGGGCGUAAAGGGUGCGUAGGCGGAUGUUAAGUGGGAUGUGAAAUCCCCGGGCUUACCUGGGGGCUGCAUUCCAAACUGGAUAUCUAGAGUGCAGGAGAGGAAAGCGGAAUUCCUAGUGUAGCGGUGAAAUGCGUAGAGAUUAGGAAGAACACCAGUGGCGAAGGCGGCUUUCUGGACUGUAACUGACGCUGAGGCACGAAAGCGUGGGUAGCAAACAGGAUUAGAUACCCUGGUAGUCCACGCCGUAAACGAUGGAUACUAGGUGUAGGGGGUAUCAACUCCCCCUGGCCGCAGUUAACACAAUAAGUAUCCCGCCUGGGGAGUACGGUCGCAAGAUUAAAACUCAAAGGAAUUGACGGGGGCCCGCACAAGCAGCGGAGCAUGUGGUUUAAUUCGAAGCAACGCGAAGAACCUUACCUGGACUUGACAUCCCUUGCAUAGCCUAGAGAUAGGUGAAGCCCUUCGGGGCAAGGAGACAGGUGGUGCAUGGUUGUCGUCAGCUCGUGUCGUGAGAUGUUAGGUUAAGUCCUGCAACGAGCGCAACCCUUAUCCUUUGUUGCCAGCGGUCCGGCCGGGAACUCAAAGGAGACUGCCAGUGAUAAACUGGAGGAAGGUGGGGAUGACGUCAAGUCAUCAUGGCCCUUACGACCAGGGCUACACACGUGCUACAAUGGCGCAUACAAAGAGAAGCGACCUCGCGAGAGCAAGCGGACCUCAUAAAGUGCGUCGUAGUCCGGAUUGGAGUCUGCAACUCGACUCCAUGAAGUCGGAAUCGCUAGUAAUCGUGGAUCAGAAUGCCACGGUGAUACGUUCCCGGGCCUUGUACACACCGCCCGUCACACCAUGGGAGUGGGUUGCAAAAGAAGUAGGU